CAUCAGGAGAGCUUGCAAGACCUCUUUCAUGAAAGAUUCAUUUUCCCCCUGUAGGAUCAUACUCAGCUUUGCUGAGUAAGUUACUCUUGAUUGUAAGCCUGCAUCCCUUGCCUUCAGUAAUAUCAUGUUUCAACCUUUCUGUUCCUUCAUAGUAGUUGUGCUAAAUCAUAUCUUUUCUUGACUGGGACUUUGCGGUACUUGAAUUAAUUUUUUUCUGUUUUGUUUUGUUUUGUCUGCCUGCAGCACUUUUUCUUUGACCCGGAAGCUCUGGAUUUGGGCUCUUUUCUUUGUGAAAUUUCUCCAAGGAACUGACUGAGAGAUUAUUUCUAUUUCUACUUUGCCUUUGGGUUCUAAGAGAUCUGAGCAGUUUUAAGAUUUCUUGAGAUAUGAUGUGUAGGCUCUUUUUUUUUUUUUGGUAAUGGCAUUCAAAUAGUUCAGUAAUUCUUAAAUUAUAUCUCUUCCAUCUGUUUCCCAGGUCAGGUUUUUUUUAUAUGAAAUGUCUUAAAUUUUCUUUUUUUCUAGUUUUCUGACUUUAAUAUCUUUUAUUGUAUCAUGGAAUGAUUAACUUCCACUUGAUCCAUUCUGAUUUUUAGGAUGCUUGCUGCUUGGGUCAAGUUCCUGCCUUCUGGGGCUGAGCAGAGUCAGGCUAAUCUCUUCCCUGCCGCAUGUGACAAAGCCGCCCAAGCAGUGGGAGACAGCCAUCAUCCUCCCCUUCCCCGUCCCCACCUCCCAAUCUUCCCUUCACUCAGCUUCUUAUGGCCUUUCCCCAUUGAAUUGAAUUGAAGUGAGUUGACUAAGGGUCCCAAGGCUGGAGUCCAGGCCCCAGGGAUCAGGGCCAGUGAUCUUGACCCAGCCCCAGGGAUCAGGGCCAGUGAUCUUGACCCAGCCCCAGGGAUCAGGGCCAGUGAUCUUGACCCACUUGUCUCUCCUCAGUUUCGAAAAAACGUCCAGGAUGUGCUGGCCGACAUGCCCAACCCUGACGACUAUUUCCUCCUUCGCUGGCUCCGAGGAGCUGAGCACGUCAUGGGCUGCAUUCUGCAUGCCCCUUGUGUUCCAGAUGAAGAAACUGAGGACAGAGCGAGGAACGAGACUUUAUUAAGUGCCCGCCAUGUGCCAGACGGUAUACUAAGCACUUUACAAUCACUGUCUCACCUGACCCUCUCCACAACACGAUCAGCCGGCUGCUGUUAUUACCCCCAUUUUACAGUUGAGGAAACUGAGGCAGAUAGAAGUUAAGUGGCUUGUCCAGGCUCACAUAGCUGCUAUGUGUCUGAGGCUGGAUUUGAACUCAGGACUCCCGACUCCAGGCUCAUCGCUCUGUGUACUGUACCCUUGGGCUACCUCGGAAGCAGCUUGCCCAGAGUUACUUAGUGAGUAAGCAAACUGGGGCAGGACAGGAGGGUGGGAGGCAGACCAGGGCUUUUGGGGAGGUCACUUGCCGUCUUAGCCACCGGUUCCAUCAGGGCACUUAUUGGCUGGGCACUGAUUUUCCACAGUUUCAUCUGUCUACACCUGGUCUUCUCAAUAGAACUAGGAACUAUGGGAACCAGCUCAUAUAUUUCUUUUCUAUAUCCCCCCACUGUGCCCAGGACAGAGCAGAGGAUGGAUGCCGGCGGAACUGAAUCACAACAUUAACAGCAGUUCACUGUUCUGGAGGAUUCUAAGUGCUUUUCUCAUCAUUGAAGCCAGAGAAAACAUUUUCUUUAGGGUGUAACACCUUAAACAUGACGUAGAACCUUCAGUUCUGCAAGCCCAGCCCUGGGAGGUAGGGAGUGCAGGCAUCAAUAACCCCAUUUUACAGAUGAGGAAAGGUGGAGCUCCAGGGAGCAUUGGGAUCUUACUAAAAUGACAGGCACCCCAGUGGAGUGGGAAGAAUCAGUCGUCCUACCCAUUCAAAUCCUGCCUUGAACGCUUCAUAGCUGUGUGACCUGGGGUGAUUCAUCUAACUCUGAUGGCCUCAGUUUUCUCAUCUGCAAAAUGAAGAUAAUAACACUAGUACCACCUGCCUCACAGGGUUGGAGUGAGGGGAAAGUAAAAUACUCCAUCUAAAGUCCUUUGCAGACCAUGGAAUCUUAGCAUUUCAGGACUGGGUGGACUCCCAGGGGCCAUCUGCUCUGACUCAGACCCAGGCAGGAAUGUUCCCUCCCAUGUAUCUGAAAAGGGCUCAUUGAGCCUUUGUCUGAAGAGCUCUGGUGUGGGGGAGCCCACCCCAUCUCUGGGAGCCCAUCCCAUCUCAGGGAGCCCACCCCAUGUCUGGGAGCCCACCCUAUCUCUAGGAGACCAUUCCAUCUCUAGGACCCUGACCCAUCUCUGGGGAGAACACCCCAUCUCUGGGGAGCCCACCCCAUCUCUGGAAGCUGACCCCUUCUCUGGGAGCCCACCACAUCUUUGGGAGCCCAUGCAGAGCCAGCUCGUGUCCUGCUAAAAGCCCACCUUCUGUAGGGAGAAGCCUUUCUUGAUCCCCCUUGAUUCUAGUGCCCUCCCUCUGUGGAUGGCUAUAGCUGUUUCGUGUGUUGUCCCCCCCAUUAGACUGGGAGCUCCUUCAGGGCAGGGACUGUCUUUUGCCUUUCUUGGUAGCCUUAGCAUGUAGCACAAUGCCUGGUAUAUAGUAGGUGCUCAAUAAAUGCUUG
RNAcentral lists this long non-coding RNA (2630 nucleotides) under Phascolarctos cinereus (koala). RNAcentral's name for it is "lncRNA (ENSPCIG00000037063.1)". The record is from RNAcentral. Lineage: Eukaryota; Metazoa; Chordata; Mammalia; Diprotodontia; Phascolarctidae.